UAGGGAAUCUUCGGCAAUGGGGGCAACCCUGACCGAGCAACGCCGCGUGAGUGAAGAAGGUUUUCGGAUCGUAAAGCUCUGUUGUAAGUCAAGAACGAGUGUGAGAGUGGAAAGUUCACACUGUGACGGUAGCUUACCAGAAAGGGACGGCUAACUACGUGCCAGCAGCCGCGGUAAUACGUAGGUCCCGAGCGUUGUCCGGAUUUAUUGGGCGUAAAGCGAGCGCAGGCGGUUUGAUAAGUCUGAAGUUAAAGGCUGUGGCUCAACCAUAGUUCGCUUUGGAAACUGUCAAACUUGAGUGCAGAAGGGGAGAGUGGAAUUCCAUGUGUAGCGGUGAAAUGCGUAGAUAUAUGGAGGAACACCGGUGGCGAAAGCGGCUCUCUGGUCUGUAACUGACGCUGAGGCUCGAAAGCGUGGGGAGCGAACAGGAUUAGAUAUCCUGGUAGUCCACGCCGUAAACGAUGAGUGCUAGGUGUUGGAUCCUUUCCGGGAUUCAGUGCCGCAGCUAACGCAUUAAGCACUCCGCCUGGGGAGUACGACCGCAAGGUUG
RNAcentral lists this ribosomal RNA (550 nucleotides) under uncultured bacterium. Its description in RNAcentral is "bacterial SSU rRNA". It matches the Rfam family "Bacterial small subunit ribosomal RNA", at positions 355 to 896 of the family's 1533-position model. The record is from RNAcentral.